AGUGGUAAUGAUGAUGGUGGUGGUGGUAGUAGUGGUAAUGAUGGUGGUGGUGGUAGUACUGGUAAUGAAGAUGGUGGUAGUAGUGGUAAUGAUGACGGUGGUAGUAGUGCUAAUGAUGAUGGCGGUAGUGGUAGUAGUGGUAGUGGUAGUAGUGGUAAUGAUGAUGAUGGUGGUGGUAGUAGUGGCAAUGAUGGUGGUGGUGGUGGUAGUAGGGGUAAUGAUGAUGGUGGUGGUAGUGGUAAUGAUGAUAAUGGUCGUGGUAGUAGUGGUAAUGAUGAUGGUGGUGGUAGUAGUAGUGGUAAUGAUGGUGGUGGUGGUGGUAGUAGUGGUAAUGAUGAUGGUGGUAGUAGUAGUGGUAAUGUUGGUGGUGGUGGCAGUGGUAAUGAUGAUGAUGGUGGUAGUAGUGGUAAUGAUGGUGGUGGUGGUACUAGUGGUAAUGAUGAUGAUGGUGGUAGUAGUGGUAAUGAUGAUGGUGGUAGUAGUAGUGGUAAUGGUGACGGUGGUGGUAGUGGUAAUGAUGAUAGUGGUAGUAGUGGUAAUGAUGAUGGUGGUGGUAGUAGUGGUAAUGAUGAUGGUGGUAGUAGUGGUAAUGAUGAUGGUGGUAGUAGUGCUAAUGAUGAUGCCGG
Molecule: long non-coding RNA, 626 nt
Organism: Oncorhynchus tshawytscha (Chinook salmon)
Lineage: Eukaryota; Metazoa; Chordata; Actinopteri; Salmoniformes; Salmonidae
Source: Ensembl